ACCGUCGUUGUGCAGGUCGGUGAGCACCUGCACACGCUGGCCCCAUUGGUACUUGGGCGUCCUGGGUUCGAUCAUGGCCGUCCCCCGGCGACGGUG
RNAcentral lists this transfer RNA (96 nucleotides) under Nitrospirillum iridis. Its description in RNAcentral is "tRNA-OTHER". The record is from RNAcentral. Lineage: Bacteria; Pseudomonadati; Pseudomonadota; Alphaproteobacteria; Rhodospirillales; Azospirillaceae.